Molecule: long non-coding RNA, 308 nt
Filed under: Gossypium raimondii (Peruvian cotton)
Lineage: Eukaryota; Viridiplantae; Streptophyta; Magnoliopsida; Malvales; Malvaceae
Description: long non-coding RNA (GRAI_LNC009354)
Source: RNAcentral
GGGAAGGUAAAGAGAAUCCAACGAAGAUCUUUGUUAUUGUUUAACUAGUUGUAAGGCCCAAAUUUUGCCUGGGCCCAACACACUCAAAUUAGACUAAAUAAAACCAAAAUAUCUCACCAGCCCAAAACAGAGUUCAGCCCAAAUACAAAUUAAAACCCCAAAAAAAAACUAAAAACCCUAAAGCCCAAACAGCCCACAAAACUAAAAAAAAUCAGCCAAGGGAAACCUUAGCUAGUCGCUGCUCCAACCGUAAGCCUUGCUGCAACCGCACGCUACCUCCCUGCAUGCCACUGUCUGACGCUUCUCUG